This 301-nucleotide ribosomal RNA is filed under the name uncultured bacterium. Its description in RNAcentral is "partial 16S ribosomal RNA". It matches the Rfam family "Bacterial small subunit ribosomal RNA", at positions 509 to 807 of the family's 1533-position model. The record is from RNAcentral.
CAGCCGCCGCGGUAAUACGAAGGGUGCAAGCGUUAAUCGGAAUUACUGGGCGUAAAGCGUGCGUAGGCGGUUUGUUAAGUCUGCUGUGAAAUCCCCGGGCUCAACCUGGGAAUGGCAGUGGAUACUGGCAAGCUAGAGUCUUGUAGAGGGGGGUAGAAUUCCAGGUGUAGCAGUGAAAUGCGUAGAGAUCUGGAGGAAUACCGGUGGCGAAGGCGGCCCCCUGGACAAAGACUGACGCUCAGGUGCGAAAGCGUGGGGAGCAAACAGGAUUAGAUACCCCAGUAGUCCCUGUCUCUUAUAC